CACGAUGACACGGCCAUUUGCGAAACCAACCACAACCCUUCGCAUUUCAAAGAGUUAGGUGUCCAAGUCUCGCAAAUGGCCGUGUCAUCGUGUCCGUGUCCCAACUACUCCGCCGCAGCCGCCGCUUUCUCUCCUUCCUUCGGGUGCCGCUCUGAUCCGUCCGGCACGGACCAGCCGAGUCACGGCCGGUUUUCUUGCCGAGUCAAUUCGGUUCGUCAUGGAACGGCGUCAUUUCUCGGCGGCGGAAUGCAAUCUCUGAUCUUGAAGUUCCCUCCCAACUUCGUGCGCCAGCUCAGCACCAAGGGCCGCCGGAAUUGCAGCAACAUCGGCGUCGCGCAAGUCGUUGCGGCUUCGUGGUCCAACAAUUCCGCCACUGGUAUUCCCUCAGCGGCGGCUAAUGCAACCGCCGCCGCCGCCGCCACCAUCCCCGCUGCCGAGCCGGUCGAGUUGAUUGACGGCGAUGAAGUGGCGGUGGUUGAGGGGCCUGAAGAGAAUGGACUUGUACAGUUGGAGGAUUUAACUAACGAUUUGACAUACUCAUCGUUUUUGAGCUCCGAUGGGAGCCUCGCAAUUCAUGCUGGUGAAAGAUUAGGUCGCGGUAUAGUUACAGAUGCAAUUACGACCCCGGUGGUUAAUACUUCUGCUUACUUCUUUAAGAAAACUUCUGAGCUUAUUGAUUUCAAGGAGAAACGUCGAGCUAGUUUUGAAUAUGGUCGCUAUGGAAAUCCAACAACAGUGGUUGCUGAAGAGAAGAUAAGUGCGCUUGAGGGGGCUGAAUCAACUUUGAUUAUGGCAUCUGGGAUGUGUGCUAGUACAGUCAUGCUGAUGGCAUUGGUUCCAGCUGGUGGGCAUCUUGUGACAACCACAGAUUGCUAUAGAAAGACAAGGAUAUUCAUAGAGACCAUUCUUCCUAAAAUGGGGAUCACUGUAUUGGUUCCUCUCCUUUUAUUCUUUCACUUGCUAAUGCUUGCGUCCUCUGAUUGCAGACAUGUUCUUUUUUGUCUUUGAUUCCUGUGCAAUGGAAAUGAUUGUGUUAGUUGCCUUUAUUUUUUUGAAGAAGUUGUGUGAAUCCUGAAUGUUUUGAUCAAAUAACUAUAGUAUUUUUAAUGAUGUCUAGCAUUGGUUUUGACUUGCUAAGGGUGAAGAGAUACAUUUAGUAGCUUUUUCCCUGUCUUUUUCUGUUAUUUUUCGAGUAAUGUUUUUCUUAUUUUCUUCUGAAUAACGUCUAUAAUGGGGAGGAAAAAAAGGAAAUAUGCUCAAAUGUUGAAAUUUUUGUUACUGCAUUUGUGGCUCUAUCUUAAGCAGUUAAGCUAUUAAUAUGUAGAUGCAAUGAUUCAUCUUCUAUGCAUUUCAAGUAAAUUUCUUGCCUUAUUCUUAAAAUCUGGAAUCAAAAUCUGUGUGCUCUUGGCAGAGCACCUUUCUUCUCUUAAUAUUUGGCAUUAUGGAUUUAUUUUAAAUUCCUGUUUACGAUUUUGAUCAUUAUUGAUUAUGCAGGCCACUGUGAUUGACCCUGCAGAUAUGGAAGCUCUUGAAUCUGCACUUGAAAAGAACAAUGUCAGUAGUUUAGUACGCUUCUAAAAGUUAAUUACACAUUUUCCUGCAUUGACUGAUUGUAAUUCCAUGCAGGUUUCUCUUUUCUUUACUGAGUCACCUACCAAUCCAUUAUUCAGAUGUGUUGACAUUGAGUUGGUGUCAGAGCUCUGCCACAGAAACGGAGCAUUAGUUUGCAUAGAUGGUACCUUUGCAACCCCUCUUAAUCAGAAGGCCCUCACUCUUGGAGCUGAUCUUAUUCUGCACUCUGCAACAAAGUUCAUUGGUGGCCAUAAUGAUGUGCUUGCAGGAUGCAUAAGUGGUUCCACGAAGUUAGUUUCAGAAAUUCGUAAUUUGCAUCAUAUUUUGGGUGGUACUCUCAACCCGAAUGCUGCUUAUCUGAUCAUCCGAGGCAUGAAGACAUUACAUCUUCGUGUACAGCAACAGAAUUCAACAGCACUGAGGAUGGCCGAACUUUUAGAGGCUCAUCCUAAGGUGUGUAAUAUUCUGUAAAUUUUCAUUUGAUGAAGAAUUUAUUCCAGCAAUAUGAUUAUGCCUAAUUGUGGCAUGUGAAGCUACUCAACUUGGCAUUUGUUGUUUCCAAUGAGUAUGAGGAUUAUCAAUGUUAAAACUGUUAAAAAUGAUAGCAAUGAAGUGCAUAUUUUCCUUAAUUUUCUGCUUUUCUUAAGUAAUGAUCAAUUUUUUAGAUUAUACGAGCUUGAUUGCACCUUCAGAGAUUGUGUAAUUAUACUUUUGAGCAUAGUGAAUCAUACAUGUGAGUUCAAAACGGUGAAAAAGUUGUGAGAGCAGACUUAAAGAUUCUUACUACAAAUUCUGUCGCCUUUGUCGUGACAUUGAACAUUAGUACUUCUAUGAUGGUAUUGUAAUUGGUAAUUUUUUAGUAUUAAGAAGAACCAUUAGCAACUCAUAGUCACUUUAUGAACAGAGCCAUAGUUACCUUAAUCUAAAAUUUUCACCCUCAAGAUUUAGAACAAUGAAUCUCUCUCUUUUGCGUUAAGUUUACCUUUGAAUCAUAAGACUUGCUCUAUCAAGUUGCUAAUAUAAAUUUUGAAGAAUAUUGUUCAUCUUUGUAUUAAUGCAGACUGCUUGCUUUCUGCAACAGUGUGCUAGAUUACCAUUCUCAUAUUCCACGAUUAUUUGCAGCGUGGAAUUUGAAAAUAUGCAGACCACUACUUCGUUUUGGAUAAAUCAUAUAUUUGUUUUCUUUUUGUGAAAUUAAGCUAUUCUAUCUAUAAAAUGAGAAUUUUGUAAUGAUAUUGGCAGGUGAAGUGUGUUUAUUAUCUAGGCUUGCCUAGUCAUCCCGAACAUCACAUUGCCAAACGGCAAAUGACCGGCUUUGGUGGUGUGGUUAGUUUUGAGAUUGAUGGAGACUUGAUGACCACCGUAAAAUUUGUGGACUCAUUGAAAAUCCCAUAUAUUGCCCCAUCUUUUGGUGGCUGUGAAAGCAUUGUGGAUCAGCCAGCUAUAAUGUCUUACUGGGAUCUUGCCCAAUCGGAGAGGGAAAAGUAUGGGAUUAAAGAUAACUUGGUUCGGUUUAGCUUUGGAGUUGAAGACUUUGAUGAUUUGAAGGCUGAUAUACUUCAAGCCCUGGAGACCAUAUAAGGUGGUGCAUAGGGACAACUUGGUGCAGUUCAGCUUCAAAGUUGAUGUUUUGGAGAUCUGAAGGAUGAAUACUCUAUGCUUGGAGACUAUAUGAGGCGCAUCAUCUAUCCACUUCUUGUUUUUUAUUUUAUUUUUUUUUUUGGGGUCAAUUUUGGUUAUCUGGUGGUUCAAUUGACGUUUAAUCACCAAAAUUUCUGUUUCAGUUUGGUGGACAGAUCAUUACUUUAACUAGUAAUGAUUGAUGAACAACAUAGAACCUUGUUUGUUUUCAAUGUUUUCUUUAGGCUUUGUGAUUUUUCUCUUCUAAGUUCUGAAAGAUUGGAGGUUUUGAAGAGAGAUCGAUAUGGGAAAUUGACAAGGACUGGAUGAAUCUUUAACAGUGAUUAACUUUUGAACUAAUUUGGGUUGGCAAGGGAUAGAAUUGGUAGAAGCCUUGCUCAUAAUUGUUUGGAUUUUAUGGCUGGGCCACCUUGGAUUUGCUUGUGGUGUGUUUAUAAUCAUUCAAAAAGAGUUGAAAGUUGUGAAGUGAGAGAGCUCGUUUAUUUGAUGCUAAGAAGCACUGGGAGAAUGGGUAAACUGUUUGUUGUAAAUAGGAAGAGAAAAAGAGUUCUUGCCGAAAAAAAUAUAACGUUUAAAGUUCUAAACCAUCUGCAUAUAAUCU
This 3814-nucleotide unclassified non-coding RNA is filed under the name Hevea brasiliensis (rubber tree). The record is from RNAcentral. Lineage: Eukaryota; Viridiplantae; Streptophyta; Magnoliopsida; Malpighiales; Euphorbiaceae.